This 433-nucleotide ribosomal RNA is filed under the name uncultured bacterium. RNAcentral describes it as "partial 16S ribosomal RNA". It matches the Rfam family "Bacterial small subunit ribosomal RNA", at positions 29 to 507 of the family's 1533-position model. The record is from RNAcentral.
AGCGAACGCUGGCGGCAGGCCUAACACAUGCAAGUCGAACGAACUCUUCGGAGUUAGUGGCGGACGGGUGAGUAACACGUGGGAACGUGCCUUUUGGUUCGGAAUAACUCAGGGAAACUUGUGCUAAUACCGAAUGUGCCCUUCGGGGGAAAGAUUUAUCGCCAUUAGAGCGGCCCGCGUCUGAUUAGCUAGUUGGUGAGGUAACGGCUCACCAAGGCGACGAUCAGUAGCUGGUCUGAGAGGAUGACCAGCCACACUGGGACUGAGACACGGCCCAGAAUCCUACGGGAGGCAGCAGUGGCGAAUCUUGCGCAAUGGGCGAAAGCCUGACGCAGCCAUGCCGCGUGAAUGAUGAAGGUCUUAGGAUUGUAAAAUUCUUUCACCGGGGACGAUAAUGACGGUACCCGGAGAAGAAGCCCCGGCUAACUUCGUG